CCUACGGGUGGCUGCAGUAGGGAAUAUUCCACAAUGGACGAAAGUCUGAUCCAGCAACGCCGCGUGAGUGAAGAAGGGUUUCGGCAUGUAAAGCUCUGUUGGCAGUGAAGAAAGAUAGAGCGAUUCACUGGCCUGUAGUCGACGGUAAUUACUUGCAAAGACACGCCUAAAUACGUGCGAGCAGCGGCGGUAAUGCGUAUGCGGCAAGCGUGGUCCGGAUUUAUUGGGGGGAAAGUGAGGGCAGGCGGUUCAACAAGUCUGGGGUGAAAGCCGUCGGCUCAACCGGGGCAUUGCAUCUGAAACUGUUGAGCUUGAGUGCAGGAGAGGGAAGUGGAAGUCGUGGUGUAGCGGUGAAAUGCGUAGAUAUAUGGAAGAACACCAGUGGCGAAGGCGGCUCUCUGGACUGCAACUGACGCUGAGGCUCGAAAGCGUGGGUAGCGAACAGGAUUAGAUACCCCUGUAGUC
This 465-nucleotide ribosomal RNA is filed under the name uncultured bacterium. Its description in RNAcentral is "partial 16S ribosomal RNA". It matches the Rfam family "Bacterial small subunit ribosomal RNA", at positions 338 to 795 of the family's 1533-position model. The record is from RNAcentral.